GCCCGGGUGGUGGAAUUGGUAGACACAAGGGACUUAAAAUCCCUUUCUAUUAUUAGAGUGCGGGUUCGAGUCCCGCCCCGGGCA
This 84-nucleotide transfer RNA is filed under the name Geoalkalibacter subterraneus. It matches the Rfam family "tRNA". From Rfam's summary of the family: Transfer RNA (tRNA) molecules are approximately 80 nucleotides in length. Their secondary structure includes four short double-helical elements and three loops (D, anti-codon, and T loops). Lineage: Bacteria; Pseudomonadati; Thermodesulfobacteriota; Desulfuromonadia; Desulfuromonadales; Geoalkalibacteraceae. The record is from Rfam by way of RNAcentral.